GAUGUAGCACUUCACCUUGUUAUCUUCAUCCAUCCACUUCUCAAGUGCAGCUUGUUGAUCAGUGGAUGGGCGAGCAGAAAACACAGGCACUUUAUGGUCAAGGACAUAUGUGAGUUUUUCAAAAUUGAGAAUAAUUCUUAGAUUUUAGAGCCAAUUUUUGUAAUUGGUGCCGAUCAAUCUAUUUGUAUCGAGAAUUCGGGCUAAGGGGUUUGAACUCGACAUGAUUAUCUGUAGAGAGAAUAGUUUCUAGUUAGAUUUUGUACUUAUAAGAUUGUUUAUUCUAAGAACUAUAAAAAUAAACAAAAGCUCUCACUAUUUCCUCGAAUCUCCCAAAC
RNAcentral lists this long non-coding RNA (335 nucleotides) under Elaeis guineensis (African oil palm). RNAcentral describes it as "long non-coding RNA (EGUI_LNC078917)". The record is from RNAcentral. Lineage: Eukaryota; Viridiplantae; Streptophyta; Magnoliopsida; Arecales; Arecaceae.